CCACGAGCUACACGCGUCUCAAGCAUACCCUCACCGCCGACAGCCCCCAGCCUCGUCCACGGCCUGCUCGUCCACCCGCCUACGAUCCUGAGUUCGAGGCGGCCUUCGAAGCCUGCAAUGAAGCGUAUCAGCAGGCCGCUGCCCAGUGGAAUAGGCAGAAUACGGCCUACAUGGCGUAUAUAGGAGAAAUGAUGAUUUCUAUGUCUACUGGUACACCGCCACCGGCUCGAGUUACCGUGG
This is a non-coding RNA of Lolium perenne, 240 nucleotides long. Lineage: Eukaryota; Viridiplantae; Streptophyta; Magnoliopsida; Poales; Poaceae. The record is from RefSeq and is a predicted model, not a curated record.